GGCAGAUGUCUCAUCUCUUAGUCUUUAGAAGUUUGACGUCAAGGUGUCAGCAGUGAUGAUUUCUUCUAAGGCUUUUCUGGCCUGUAGAUAGUUGUGUUCUUCCAGUGUCUUCACAUGGUGUUCCCUCUGGGUAGCCAACAUGGAUUUUAACAGAGCCUAACCUACCUGGGGGAAGGAGCAUAUCCAGCCCCAGCCUUUGCUAGUCUUCCUGUCUCACUCUGUGGAAAUUAGUAAAGAAAGCUCAGCUAAACUGGAUGGGGAAGGCCUGCAGGGGGAGCUCUCACCCCCAUCACACAUCAUCAAUUACUCCAAAGGGGAAGAGAGGACCUUGUCUCUCAGAUGGGAAGUACAGUGGCUUUACUACUAAAGGAAGAUUCUCUCCCCACCCAGCAACAGCCCAGCCAAUGAGAGAUGCCACAGCCCAGCCAAUCAGAAAUGCCACAGUUCAGCAAAUGAGAAACACUGCAGCUUAGCCAAUGAGAAAUGCUGCAGCCCAGCCAAUGAGAGAUGCUGCACCUCAGCCAAUCAGAAAGGCCACAGCCCAGCCAAUCAGAAAUGCCACUGCCCCACCAAUGAGAAACACUGCAGCUCAGCCAGUGAGAAAUGCCACAGCUCAGCCAAUGAGGAGCUGUUGCCAUGCUGAACUGUUACUCUCGCUAACGGACUUUCCUUUAGAAGAGCCCCUCCCUCUCCCCCUUCUCUAUAACCGCAGCUCCCCUCAUUUGUUCUGUAGAUUUGGCUAUGGUUUGCCACAGCAUGUACAUCCUGAAUUACAAUUCUUUUGGCUAUUUUCAAAUAAACUCGUUUAGAGGUAAACUAGUAGGCAAAUUUGCUUUUUAAGUUGACAACUCAAAGAGGAAUUUUGAAAGAAGCAAGGGGAACCCGCCCCCUCCCCCCCAGCUUACCAAUAGAGGAAUAAGGAUAAGAAUUACUUCAGACUUCUCUUCAGAAACCGUGCAAACAGGUCAGAAGCCAUGCCUCUGUUCAGCCAGGAAAAGUCGCUCGCAGGACCUGGGGAGCAGCGUGCUGCGGCCCACCCCGAGAACAAAGUCCAUAAAAUCUUAUCAGGCUUAUCAAGCACUGACCUUUGCCACCCUUGAGAACAGAGGCCUGCUGGGUGCCGCCCCGCGCUGCCUCCCUCUCAGAUCCUGGCUGGCCAGAACCCUGAAACUCCCUCAAGGCUGAAUUAAUCAUUGCCUGCCGGCAGCUAGCAGGCUGCCUCCACCAGCCCAAGGUGUCCAGACCUUUGGCCACAGCAUCACCUGAAGGGAGGGCAGGGCAGCCCCCCACCUUGCCCAGCCCCCAGCUCCUGCUGGUCUCCACUGCGGGGAGGUCUUGCCCUGGACCUCCUCUGGAUGGGGCUUGAUGGAGGGUGUGGGUGGGGUUCUCCAUCGAAAAGUGGUCUAGACCUGCAGCUUCAGGUAUAGACCCCACCCUGUUGCCUCAUCAGAUGGAUGAGAGGGGAC
RNAcentral lists this long non-coding RNA (1466 nucleotides) under Equus caballus (horse). Its description in RNAcentral is "lncRNA (ENSECAG00000048171.1)". Lineage: Eukaryota; Metazoa; Chordata; Mammalia; Perissodactyla; Equidae. The record is from RNAcentral.